GAUGAACGCUGGCGGUGUGCCUAACACAUGCAAGUCGAACGGAGCUGCUUUGAUGAAGUUUUCGGAUGGAUUUAAAACAGCUUAGUGGCGGACGGGUGAGUAACGCGUGGGUAACCUGCCUCACACUGGGGGAUAACAGUUAGAAAUAGCUGCUAAUACCGCAUAAGCGCACAGUUCCACAUGGAACAGUGUGAAAAACUCCGGUGGUGUGAGAUGGACCCGCGUCUGAUUAGCCAGUUGGCGGGGUAACGGCCCACCAAAGCGACGAUCAGUAGCCGGCCUGAGAGGGUGAACGGCCACAUUGGGACUGAGACACGGCCCAAACUCCUACGGGAGGCAGCAGUGGGGAAUAUUGCACAAUGGGGGAAACCCUGAUGCAGCGACGCCGCGUGAGUGAAGAAGUAUUUCGGUAUGUAAAGCUCUAUCAGCAGGGAAGAAAGUGACGGUAC
Molecule: ribosomal RNA, 449 nt
Filed under: uncultured bacterium
Lineage: Bacteria
Description: bacterial SSU rRNA
Rfam family: Bacterial small subunit ribosomal RNA
Source: RNAcentral